Molecule: ribosomal RNA, 253 nt
Filed under: uncultured bacterium
Lineage: Bacteria
Description: partial 16S ribosomal RNA
Rfam family: Bacterial small subunit ribosomal RNA
Source: RNAcentral
UACGGGGGGGGCAAGCGUUGUUCGGAAUUACUGGGCGUAAAGGGUGCGUAGGUGGCGCGGUAAGUCGGGUGUGAAAUUUCGGAGCUUAACUCCGAAACUGCAUUCGAUACUGCCGUGCUUGAGGACUGGAGAGGAGACUGGAAUUUACGGUGUAGCAGUGAGAUGCGUAGAGAUCGUAAGGAAGACCAGUGGCGAAGGCGGGUCUCUGGACAGUUCCUGACACUGAGGCACGAAGGCCAGGGGAGCAAACAGG